UAAUUCCUCCACUUGCUAGGUGGACUGCUGCCAGAUUCACGAAACACUUAAGAAAGCCAAGGAAAUGUUCCAAGUUUACUUGGUUGAAUUUUGUUUUCCAGUGAAUUUGGGGUCAGCAACGGCAAUUAGAAGCUAACUUCCACUGGCAUUCGGGAACAAGAAACGGGCGAGGUGCCCCCGAAAACUCUUGAGUUCACUGUCUUUCUGGCCGUUUCAAGGGCUCUGCAAGCUUUACACCCAACAUGGGACUCGAACUCACAACCCUGAGAUCAAGAGUCGCAGGUGGCACCGGCUGAGUGAGUCAGGCACCUCAGGCUUGUUUCUAUCUAAAAGGUGUGUCAGAAGGAAAAGAUGAAUACGAGCCUCCUGGAGCUAUUGCCGCUACCUGAAGCAAGAUCCUAUGGAGACUACUGCCCAGUGGCUACACAGCACGGUGGUUUAGAACCAUUGUUGGAUGCUGGAGCCAGUGGGGUGGCUUCCAACAACAGCUGGACCUUACUGACCAGACGAGUGACGUUGGGCAGCAACUUAACUCAUUGACUCUUCACCAGAGCCCUAUGAGGUAGGUACUAGUAUUAUCCCCACUUCACAGAUGAGGAAACUGAGGUGCACAGAGAGUUUAUAUGGCCUGCCUAAGGUCACCUGUCCGAGCCAAUCGUUUAAAUUGGGGCCUUGGUGUACGAGA
This is a long non-coding RNA of Neofelis nebulosa (Clouded leopard), 685 nucleotides long. RefSeq lists it as uncharacterized. Lineage: Eukaryota; Metazoa; Chordata; Mammalia; Carnivora; Felidae. The transcript has 4 exons. The record is from RefSeq and is a predicted model, not a curated record.